UUGCUAAGUUGGAAGGUGGAUGGGUAGGAAACUGCAGCACCGGUUGCACCAAUCAGGUUCCAGACGCAGCUUUGUCCUCUGCCUAACCAGUUUUUGUGGUGAAGGUGGAUGGGCUAGUAUUCAGCUCCUCUGAUGUGCUUUUGUCAGGUCCCAGAGGCAGCUUUGUCCUCGGCCUAUCCAACACGAAUGUGGAGGGGGGGAGGAAUGAAGUGCAGCAGAGAAUCCAGGGCCAGCCAGGUACCAGGGGCAGCUUUGUCCUCGGCCUAUCCCAUGUUGGCUGGUAAGGUGGAAGGUGGAUGGGAAAGGAAUCUGCGCCACUUAUCUGCGUCCAUCAGGUCUGAGAGGCAGUUUUGUCCACGGAGUUACUGCUGUGAAAUUGGAAGGUGGGUGGGUAAAGUAAGCUUUGCCAGGAAAGCUGGAAGCUAAUCAGGUCUCAAAGGCAGCUUUAUGCUAGGCCUAGCCGGUGUUGGCCGAGGAGGGGAAAGUGGAAUAGAGGAAGGAAAAGUGCGUCAUAGGAUUCUGGGCCUGUCAGUUGUGGGUUUUUUUUUUUUUUUUUUUUUCCCCUUUCUUCCAGACGUGUAGCCGGUGUUCGCCGCGGAAAUGGAAGAAGAGCAAGGGAUGGAAAGUGCAUCAUUAGGAUUCGGGGCCUUUCAGUUUUGUGCUAGAGCUAGCCGGUGUUGUCCGAGGAGGGGAAAGGGGAGCAGAGGAAGGAAAGUGCGUCAUCGGAUUCUGGGCCUGUCAGUUUUUUUCCCCCAGACAUGUAGCCUGUGUUCGCCGCGGAAGUGGAAGAAGAGCAAGGGAUGGAAAGUGCAUCGUUAGGAUUCGGGGCCUUUCAGUUUUGUGCUAGAGCUAGCCGGUGUUGUCCGAGGAGGGGAAAGGGGAGCAGAGGAAGGAAAGUGCGUCAUCGGAUUCUGGGCCUGUCAGUUUUUUUCCCCCAGACGUGUAGCCUGUGUUCGCCGCGGAAGUGGAAGAAGAGCAAUGGAAGGAAAGUGCGUCAUAGAUUCGGGAACAGUUUUGUUGUUGUUGUUUUGUUUUUAACCCAGACUUAGCCGUUGUUGGCCGCGGAGGGGAAAGGAGAGCAAGCGAAAGAAAAUGCGUCAUAGGAUCCGGGGUCUGCCAGAUCCCAGAGGUAGCUUUAUUCCAGGCCUAUUUAGUAUUCAUUGCGGAGGUAAAAGGAAGGAAAGAAAAUUCUUUGUAGACUCCGAGGCCUCUCAGAUCCUAAGAGGCAGCUUUAUUCUAGGUCUAUUUCUCAAAUGUUCGUUGCGGACUUGGUAGGUGGCGGAGCGGGGGUUGGGGGAGGGAGGAAAGAGAGGAAGAAAAUGCGUCAUAGAAUCCUGAGCCUGUCAAGUCCUUCAGGUAGCUUUGUUCUAGUCCUUGACAGUGUUUGCUGCGAAGGUGGAAGGAGGGAGGGGAAAGAAUUUACGUCAGAGAAUCCAGAAUCAAUCAUGUUUCAGAGGCAGUUUUGUCCUCGCCCUAGCCAGUGUUUGCCGCAGAGGAGGAGGGAGAGGGAGAAGAGUGGCAGCUUUAUUCUAAACCUUGCCUGUGUUUGCAGCGAACUUGCGAAAGGGGGAAGGAAGUUACGUCAUAGAAUCCAGGACCAAUCUGAUCGCGGGAGGGGCAGAGUCUUCAGCCUAUACAGUAUUUGCUGCGGACGUUGGGGGUGGGGUGGGGAAAUUAUGUCAUAGAAUCCAAGACCAAUCAGGUCGUAGGAGCCUAUCUCCUAUAUUACCUGCAAAGGUGGAAGAGAGCUAACGGGGAAGGUGAGGCCGAGACAAAAGCCAAUCAGAACCUAGAGUCAGCUUUGUCGUCUUUGAGGUAAAUCAUCUUUUAACUGUGGGUAGGUGGGAGAAGAGAAGCUGCGUCUUCGUUAGUUACAUCUCAGAAGACGAAAAUUUAGCUCUGUGGACAGCCUUAAUGUGAUAAGACUUAUUCAUUAUUAUAAUUGGUAAUGAAUGGGGGACUUUUUUUUUAAGGUGUCACAUAGGAAUUAAAAGGGAUACUAUUUGUGAUUUUAAAUCAUUGGAUUGUUGAUAUAUGAGCCAUAUGAUAAGAUUAAAAAUGAAUGAAAAUUGAAAAGGGGAAAACCCUGAAAGGUUAGAGCAUGGUGGGUCUUUAAAACCCAUAAUCUCAUAGCUGGAUUGUUGUUAUCUCCCCACCCCACCCCUUUUUUUUUUUUUUUUGAAUGUGCUGAAUUGGACAAGGUAUUGGGAUUCACACCUUAAUUUUGAAAAAUAAUAAAAGAUCCUUUGGUAUGAAACAUUAUUUUAAUAUAAUUUGUAUCAGCACAGGGGGUGAUGCUCUGAAUUAAAGCUCAGUUCCAGAACCACACAGCCAAAGAGGAAAGAUGGAAAUGCACUGUUAUAUGUUGGGGGGAAAAAAGUGAGGUGGUGCAGCUCUGUAUUAAAACUCAGGGACCGAAUUAACAGCCAAAAGGGAUUGGUGAAAAUGUAGUGCCUUAUUCAGAUCCAUAAAAGAAAAAAAAAGGGCAAAAAAGUGAUUCCAUUCAGUGCCUUGAUCUGCUCAGUGGUGAACCUUUGAAUUAAAACUCAGGUAUUAAACCAAUACAGCCAAAGAGGAAAUGUGGGGAAUGCUGUGCCUUCUGUGGCUCUAAAAUAAGGAAAACCAGGCAAAAAAAAUCUCAUUCAGUGCCUUGUUCUGCUCAGUGGUGAUCCUUUGAAUUAAAACUCAGGUAUUAAACUAAUAUAACUAAAGAGCAAAGAGGGAAAUGAUGUGCCUUCUGUAGCUCUAAAAUAAGGAAAACCAGGCAAAAAAUAAUCCCAUGCAGUGCCUUGUUCUGCUCUAUGGUCAUCCUUUGGACUAAAGCUCAGGUAUUUAACCAAUAUAUCCAAAGAAAAAAAGGGGGAAAUACAGUGCCUUCUCAGGCUCCAUAAAGUGGAAAAAAACCGGGUAAAAUAUGCAGUGCCUUGAUUUGCUCAGUGGUGAACCUUUGAAUUAAAACUCAGGUAUUAAACCAGUACAGCCAAAGAGGAAAUGUGGGGAAUGCUGUGCCUUCUGUGGCUCUAAAAUAAGGAAAACCAGGCAAAAAAAAGUCUCAUUCAGUGCCUUGUUCUGCUCAGUGGUGAUCCUUUGAAUUAAAACUCAGGUAUUAAACUAAUACAACUAAAGAGCAAAGAGGGAAAUGCAGUGCCUUCUCAGGCUCCAUAAAUAGGAAACAAAACGGGUAUUAAAAUUAUUUCCAUACAGUGCCUUUUUUUGCUCAGUGGUGAACCUUUGAAUUAAACUCAGGUAUUAAACCAAUACAGCCAAAGAAGAAAGGGAAAAAUGUAGUGCCUUCUCUGGCUCCAUAAACAGGAAACAAAACGGGUAUUAAACUAUUUCCAUGCAGUGCCUUGAUUUGCUCAGUGGUGAACCUUUGAAUUAAAACUCAGGUAUUAAACCAAUACAACUAAAGAGCAAAGAGGGAAAUGCUGUGCCUUCUGUGGCUCUAAAAUAAGGAAAAAGCAGGCAAAAAAGUAAUCCCAUGCAGUACCUUUAUCUGCUCAGUGGUGAUCCUUUGAAUUAAAACUCAGGUACUAAACCAAUUCAGCCAAAGAGGAGAGGGGGAGAUGCAGUGCCUUCUCAGGCUCCAUAAAGAGGAAACAAAACGGGUAUUAAAAUUAUUUCCAUGCAGCGCUUUGAUUUGCGCAGUGGUGCAGCUCUGUAUUAAAACUCAGGGACUGAACCAAUACAGCCAAAGGGGAUUGGUGAAAAUGAAGUGCCUUAUUUUGUUCCACAAAAAGAAAAAAAACGGGCAAAAAAGUAAUUGCAGAAGUGCCUUGUUCUGGUGUUUAUGCCCAAAUAUAAGGUCAAUUUCUGUGAAGAAACCAGGCAGAGCUGUGGGAGAAAACAGGUAUUCUCAUUUUUGUUCCCCUUCAAUAUUCUACAGAAGACAAGUUUAUCUUGCUUUUCUAAAAUUCCAUAUGUCUCCUCAAAUUCUUUCUUGGUUAUUUUCAUGAUUACAUUUAUCUAAGGCUAUAAGGAUGAAACUGAGAGGCUCCACUGUUAAACCAUUCCUAGCUUUUUUCUGUUGUAAGGCAUUUAAUUUUUCCUUCAAGUAUGUGAAUGCUGUACCAUUUGAUGUGCAUAUGUGUGUGUGUGUGUGUGUGUGUGUGUGUAUAUAUAUAUAUAUAUAUAUAUAUAUAUAUAUAUUCAGUACUGAUAUUAUUAAAGUGUCUAUGAUAGCUUUAAGCAAAAUGUAGUUUCCCUGAACAUCUCUUUCAUUUGAUUCUAUUUUUAAUUUUGUUUUACUGAGAUGAUAAUUUUAACUCUGCCUGUUUUAUGUUUGGUGAAACAUGAUAGUUGCUCAUUGUAACUUUCAGUGUGUCUUUUUUUUUUUUUUUGUCUCUCUUGUAAGGAACAUAUUGUUGGGUUCUGAUUUAUAAUCCAUUCUCCUAUCCUUUACCAUUUUAUGUGUGAGUUCAUCCAUUUACAUUCACAGUUAGGACUGCUGAUAAUAUCAUUCCCUCCUUACCAUACUCUACUAUUUCUGCUUCUUUUUCUCUUUCUCUCUUUUUUUAUUACCCUAGAUACAAAUUAAUAAUGAUAUGAAGUAAAAGUACUAAAGUCUAUUUUGCUUCUGACCAAUGCCCUUCUUAAACUUUAGUACCUUCUAUUAUAGUCCCCCCAGCUCCCAGCCUCUUUUCCUCCUAUAUCCAUAUAGGAAAAUACAGAUGAAUUUCUGUACCCAAUUCUUUGUACAUAUAUAUGCUUCCCUCACUGAACUAGUUCUGAGAUGAAUGAAGACUAAACAUUCCUCCUCUCUACCUCUUAUUUUUCCUUCCAUUGUAAAAACUCUUCCAUGAGAGUCUCUAAUAUGUGAGUGAAACUUCCCUAUUCUUUUUCUCCCAUAACCCUUCUCCCAGGAUUUUGUCUGGCUCUGCAGUCCUAAAGACAGGUGGAAUGGCAGGAAUUUUUGUCUAUUUUGUUCUUCUGAUUUCAUAAGAUGGUCUAAGGGUAUAUGCUUCCAGCAUGGUGUGAUAAUUAGAGUCUGGUCACUGUCUUUAUGAACUGUGCUGUGGUCACUACUCAGGUAGAUACCUGCUUUAUCAGGACCGCCACCACUGCUUUCCACCUUGGAACUGCAUAAUGGGUGACAGAACUAAUGGCACCUGAUCCUGUGCCCAGUGUGGAAAAGGAAUCCUCUCAGUAGUCCACUUUCCAUCCCUGGGUACUGAUGCCGCUGCCUCCAGCACCACCACACACCUCACUACUGCGUGCCUUCAAGCAAUUUCUGGGGCCACACCUGCCAGGCCAAGAGCAACUGCCACUCCAGUGUCUUCAGGCCUUUUCUUCCAUCUUCCUUUUCUGCCUUUUGCUGGAAAAAGGACUCACUGUGAAUUUUUUCUGGCUUUUCCACUCAGAAAUUUUUUUAGUCUUUUCUGUGGUCUCUUUGUAUCUGAUGAGAAAAUGUACUCCAGUGUAGGGGUUUUAAAAGAACAGGUUACUUCACCCAUUAUUGUUCUAGUGAAUGAAUAGAUUGUAUUUAUAGAAAAAAACCUAUGUAAGUACAUGUGAGUGACAAAAGAAACAAUUGCUCAUUUUCAAUAAUUUAUAAGUCAUUUAGUAAAUUAAAACUGAUUUAAAAUGUAUUUAGAUCAAGAGAUGCAUUAAAAUACUGUAUUAUUUGUUUGUAUAAAAGAGUAAUCAUAAAGAGUAAUCAUAAAAGUUAUGUCCUGAAUGACCUCUUCAAUGAGUAAUUCAGAUCAAUUUUCUACUGUGAUUCUAUUUUUUUAAAAAACAAAAAAGAACACUCUUAUUGGAAUAAGGCUGCUGUAGGUAUCACUACUAUUUUUCAGAAAUGGUCACUAUUUAUUGAUUAAUUUAGCAUGCAAAAAAUUUAAAAAAUAGAAUCUAUGCAUUCAAAAUAAGGUACUGCUUAAACAUAGGUAUAAGUAAAUGUACUAUAACUCCAUAUAUAAGUGAAAAAGAAAAAAGCCAAAGUCUUAGUGUUUUGUCCCUCCUAUUAGGAGAGACAGAUAUCUGCAUUUAACAAAAAAUGAAAAAUUUUCUUUUUAAAAAGAGUAAAUCAGAGCUUUAGUAAAACUGAAGUCUUCAAACUCAAUGAGAAAAAGAGAAAAAUAUAUUUCUUUGGUGAGAUGUAAAUUUAAUAUAUAUAAUGUAUUACAUAUAUAUGUAUAUAUGUAUGUAUGUAUACAUACACGAAGAAAAUAAAUCAUGGCACUGCCUUAAUCUGGCAAGACUUUUGAUGAAGUUCUUAUUCAUGUAUAUAUUUGAUGAGGUCUUAUUUUUUUUCUUUGCUUGUUUUUGACCAAAAAGUUUUUCAGAAUUUCCUUUUACAAAGUAUACCAUUUGUGAUUUUAAAUAAUGGCUAAGGCCAAGAUAUAAUUUAAAGUAAUUCAUGAAUACCAUUUGUUGAUCUCUUUUUUUCCAUCUUUUAUUGAUAUAAAUAAGCAUUCACAGUUACACAUGUUCCCUUAAACAUUGCUGUGUCUCCAUCUCACUUUUUUGUUAUCCUAUCUUAUUUUUGUCAUUUUCUUUAAUGAAAUUAUUGACACUUGCUAUCAUGGCUUCUUUGACCCAUUCUUGCUUUGGGAGUAGAUUAUCUGACUUCCAAUUAAUUUUUAAUCUAUGCUUCAAAAGUCAUAUUUCGAAUGUAUUUUUCAUUGCAUUAUGGUUCCCAAAGGGUGCAUUUAAUAUUUUAUUUUUUUCUCCAUUUCUUUUUGAGGUGUUUUUGCCCAAAUACAAGGUCAAUUUCUGUGAAGGUACCAUGCAGAGCUGUGAGAAAAAAAACAGAAAAUUAAUCUGAAAAGAAGGACAGUGCAUGUAAUAUCUUGAAAGAACAAGGUUGCUGUAAGUAUCACUACUAUUUUUAAGAAAUGAUCACUAUUUAUCGACAAAGCACACACAAAAGAAUUCAAAAGAUACAAUUUGUGUGUUCAAAAAGGGUACCACUCAAAUAUAGAUAUAAUUAAAUGUACUAUAACUGAAGAAAUAAGUUAAAAGAAAACCCUAAGUGUGAGUGUUUUUGGCCCUCCUAUGGAGAGAGAGAUGCAUUUAACAAUGAAUAAAUCUGCCUUUUAAAAAAUAGUAAAUCAGCAACAUGCUAGUGAGAAAAAGAGAAAAAUGGGAUGAAAUGAAAAUUUUAAAUAUAUGUGUGUAUGUAUAUAAAUGUAUACAUCUAUAUACAUACACACACACACAUACACAGAGAGAGAGAGAGACAGGCAAUUGAUCACUGAACUGCAUUAAUCUGGUAAGACAUUUGCUGAAAUUAUUUUUCUUGUAAAUAUUUGAUGAGCUCUUAUUUUGUUUGCUUUAAUGAAAUUUUUGACACUUGCUAUCAUGACUUUUGUGACCCAUUUUUUCUUUAGGAAUACAUUAUUUGAUUUUCAAUUAAUUUUUAGUCUAUGCUUCAAAAGCUCUUUCUCAAUUAUAUUUUCCCAUUGCAUUAUGGUCCCUAAAGGGUGCAUUUGAUAUUUUACUUUUCUGCAUUUUUUUCUGAGGUGUUUAUACCCAAAUACAGGUCAAUUUCUUUGAAGGUCUCAUGCAAAGUUAUGGGAGGAGGGGAGUAUACUUAUUUUUGUUGUCCUUUUGAUAUUCUCCAGAAGCCAAUCUUAUCUCACUUUUCUAAAAUACCACACAUCUCCACAAAUUCUUUCAUGAUUAUUUUAUGAUUACAUUCAUUUAAGGCUGUAAAGGAGUAAAUUGAGAGGCUCCACUGUUAAACUUGCUUAGCUUUUUUCCCAUUGUAAGGCAUUUAUUUAACUUUUCUUUCAAGUAUUUGCAUGUUAUGCCAUUUGAUGCAUACAUGAAUACUGACAUCAAUUCAUUGUCUAUGGCAACUAUAAGCAAAAUGUUGUUUCCCUGAACAUCUCCUUGAAUUGAAUGUAUUUGUACUUUUCCUUUUUCUGUCAUGAUGGUUGCUAACUAACUCUGCCAGUUUUACUUCUGUUAAAAUACACUAUGUUUCAUGUCUCUCUUGUAAGCAGCAUAUUGUUAGGUUCUGAUUUCCUCUCUAUUUGUUUUAUUCUCUACUAUUUUAUGGGUGAGGUCAUCCAUUCACAUUUAUAGUUAGGACUACCAAUAAUUUCUUCCCUCCAUACCAUUCUCUACUAUUGUUGCUUCUUUCUCUUUUCUUUUCUUUUCUUUUUUACCUUGGAUAGGAAAAAAAUAGUAAUAUGAAGUUAGAGUAAAAAAUAAAGUCUGUUUUGCUUUUGACUACUGCCUCUCUUAAUCUUUAAUAUUCUUGUUAAAAAAAAAACCUAUUCCACAGUCCCUUGGGUCCAUAUUGGGAAAUAGAUAUAAAUUUCUAAACUCAACUGUGUGUGCAUAUAUAUUCUUCCCUCAUUGAACUAGUUCAUAUGUAUGUGAAAGUCAAACAUUGCCCCUCUCUGCCCCUUAUUUUUCUUUCCAUUGUAAAAACUCUUCCAUGAGACUAUUAUGUGAGGGAACUUUUCCCAUUCUUUCUCUCCUGUCCUCUUUUCUUGAGGAUUUCCUUUCCUCUCUACCCUUCCAUUCUUCUUUGGGGAAUCAUCCUAACACAGUAUUCCCAUACUCAUGCCCACAGCUUAAGAAGACUGAUCACAGGAAUAAUUAUGAUGAUGUUCUUAUGGGUUUAAUAUGUCAUCUUCCUUCUGGGAUGGUAAUCAUUUUAACAUUGAUAAUUAUUAGGAUCUAUUACUCCCAAUUUUUCUCAUAUCAUUCUUGUUUUCAAGACAUUUUCUAAUUUGAGUUCAUGCCCCGAGUUGCCCUUUAACUAAAUUAUGUAUGCUCUGAUUCUCAUUUGUUUGCUCAUGUUUCUAGCCUACAUAUUCAUUUUGGAUUUUAUGUUUGAGUGUGACUCUGCACUCCUAUGGAUGGGAGGACUGGCCAGAGUGUCUGUCUCUUAUGUGCUUCUGCUUUCACAAGAUAAUCUAGGUAUCUGAGUUUUUUUGGCUCCUCCAACAUGUUGUGGUAAUUAGAGUCUGGCUACUGUCCUCAUGAAGUGGGCUGUAGUUGCUACUGAGGUAGGAACCUUACUUCUUCAUGACCACCACCACUGCUUUCCACCUUGGAACUGAGACUCAAAACUGUAUAAUGGCUGAAGAAGUUUAGACAUGGCAAUUGAAUCGGUGCCCAGUGUUUGAAAAAGAAAAGGAAUCCUCUUAGUCCACUUUCCCAAAACUAGGCACCGAUUCCGCUGCCAGCACCACCACUGAUAUGCCUCACUGCUGCGUGCCUUCAAGCGACUUCUGGGGCCACACCUACCAGGCCAAGAGCAACUGCCACUCCAGUGUCUGCAGACCUUUCUUCCAUCUUCAUCUUCUGCCUUGUGCUAGAAAAAAGGGCUCACUGUGAGUUUUCCUUAGUUUUCAGACUCAGAAAUCUGUUUAGUAUUUUUUUGUGCUUGCUUUUUUGAGGGGAAAAAAUGUAUUCCAGUGCAGUGGUUUCAAAAGAACAGGUUUUUUCACCUAUUAUUGUUCUAAUGAAUAAACAGCUUAUAUUUAUGGGGAAAAGUGUAAGUACAUGUGAUUAACAAGGGAAACAAUUUCUGGUUUUAAAAUAAUUUUUAUUUCAUUUAAUAAACUAAAACAGGUUAAACAAAAAUGUAUUUAGUUCAAGAGAGGCAACAUAAAAUACCAUAAAAUUUAUAUCUGGGAAAGAGUAAUCCUGAGAAAAUGUAUGCCCUAAUUGAUAUUUUCAUUGAGUUAUAUAGUUAAUAUCCAUUUGCUAUUGUGAUUCCAAUUGUUUUUAAAAAAACUAAAAAGAAAUCUCAAAAGAAGAAAGUGCAUGUAAUGUUCUGAAAGAAUAAGGGUGCUUAUAGGUAAAACUAUUAUUUUUAAGAAAUCCCCACUAUUUAUUGAUAAAAUGAGCAUACAAAAAUUCAAAUGAUACAAUUUAUGUGUUCAAAUUGUGGUACUGCUGAAACAUAGUUUUGAGUAAAUAUACUAUUACUGAAGAAUAAAAACCCAUCAUUUGAGUGUUUUGUCCCUUCCUUGGUGAGAGGCAUUUAAAAAACAAUGAAAAAGUCUCUCUAUUAAAAAAUAGUAUAUCAGCACCAUGCUAGUGCUCUCUAAUAAAACCUAAGUCCUGAAAUAGAAUCAUUGAGAAAAAGAGAAAUUUUUUUUUUCUUUAGUGAAAUAUAUGUGUGUAUAUGUAAAUAGAUAAGCAUAUAUACAUGAAGAAAAUAAAUCAUUGCAUUGCCUCAAUCUGCCAAGACUUUUAUGGACCUUCUACUUCAUGUAAAUACUUGACUAAGCCUUAUUUUAUGUAUUUGCUUGUUUUUGACCAAGAUAUUGUUCAAAAUCUCCUCUAACAAAGUACAUAAUUUGUAAUUUAAAUAAAGACUGAGGCCAAUAUAUAAUUUGAAAUAAUUCAUGAAUACAGUUUGUUGAACUCUUUUUUUCCAUUUUAGUUGAUAUUAGUAUUUACAUUUAGAAAUGUUUCCUUAUGUAUUACAUUUGUUUCCAUUCCACAUUUUUAUUACAUUGUCUCAUUUUGGACUUUUUCUUUAAUUAAAUUACUGACACUUGCUAACAUGGCUUCUUUGACCCAUUCUUUCUUUAGGAGCAGAUUAUUUGGUUUCCAAUUAAUUUUUAAUCUAUGCUUCAAAAACUCUUUCUCAAUUGUAUAUUUCAUUGCAUUAUGGUCCCUAAAGGGUGCAUUUAAUAUUUUACUUUUCUGCAUUUCUUUCUGAGAUGUUUAUUCACAAAUUACAGGGUCAAGUUCUGUGAAGAUACCACAUAGAGAUGAGAGGGAAAAAGGGUAUACUCAUUUUUGCCUGCCCUUCAGUAUUCUUCAGAAGCCAAGCUUAUUUCACUUUUCUAAAGUUCCACACAUCUCAGAUUCUUUCUUGUUUAUAUUAUGAUUACAUUUAUCUAAGGCUAUCAAGAACAAAAUUGAGGGGCUCCACUCUUAAAGCUUUCCUAGGUUUUUCCCAUUGUAUGUCACUGAAAUUUUACUUCAAGUAUUUGUGCCAUUUAAUGAAUAUAUGUUCAGUACUGAUAUUAAUUCAUUAUCAAUGGCAACUUUAAGUAAAAUAUAGUUUCUUUAAACGUUUUUUUGAAUUGUGUCUAUUUGCACUUUUCCUUUGUGUGAGAUGAUAAUUGCUAACUGCCUGUUUUACUUCUGUUGAUACAUGCUACAUUCUUAUUGUAACUCUCUGUCUUUCUGUUUCGUGUGUCUCUUGUUGUAAUCAACAUCUGACAAUAGUCAGAUGUGAUUUCUAAUCAUCCAUUUAUUCUCUACCAUUUUAUGGGUGAAUUCAUCCAUUCACAUUCAUGCUUGGGACUGCUUAUAGUAUCUUUCUCUCUAUACCAUUCUCUUCUAUUUAUGCUUCACUCUCGCUCUUGCUCUCACUCUUUUUUACCCUAGAUAGGAAAAAAAGAGUAAUAAGUGUCUUUUUGCUUCUGACCACUGCUUCUCUUAAUCUUUACUACUUUCUAUUAUAGCCCUCUCCACCCCCACAACCUACAACCUCCUACAACUGUAUUGGGAAAUAUAAAUGAAUGUCUAGACCCAACUGUGUGUCCAUAUAUAAUCUCCCCUCACUGCGUCAGUUCAGAUGUACAGGAGGACUAAACAUUCUCCUCUCUGUCCUUUAUUUUCCCUCUCAUUAUAAAAACUCUUCCAUGAGUCUCUAAUAUGUGAGUUUCCCUAUUCUUUCUCUCAUCUUCCUUCUCCCAGAGUUUUUUUUUUUCUUCCUUUUUCACUUUUCCAUUCUUCUUUGGAGCUCAUCCUUAUACAAUAUCCCCACGCCCAUGGCCACAGCUUAAGUAGACUCCUCACUGACAUAAUAAUGAGGAUGUUCUUAUGAGCUUCAUGGGUCAUUUUCUGAGAUAGAAAUCAGUUUAACAUUGUUAAUUGUUAUGAUUUCUUACUCCCAAUAUUUCUUAUAUCACUCUUGUUUUCAAGACAUUGUCUUCUAGUUGCCCUUUCACUAUAUUAGUUUUGUAUGCUCUGAUUCUCUUUUGUUUGCUCAUGUUUCUAGCCUACAUAUUCAUUUUGGAUUUUAUGUGUGAGUCUGACUCUGCAAUCCUAAGGAAGGGAGAACUGGCCAGAGUUUCUGUUAAUUAUGUAUUUUUGAUUUCACAAUGUGAUUUAGGUGUCUGUGGGUUAUUUGACUGUGUGAUGGUGUGAUGAUUAGAGUCUGGUCACUGUCCUUAUGAACUGGGCUGUGGUCACUACUCAGGUAGGACACCUGCUUUAUCAUGACCACCACCACUGCUUUCCACCUUGGAACUGCGACUCAAAACUGGGUAAUGGGUGACAGAGCUAAUCAGUGGCCCUGAUUCUGUGCCUAGUGUUUGUAAAGGCAUCCUCUCAGUAAUCCAUUUUCCAUCCCUGGGUACUGAUGCCGGUGCCUCCAGCACCAACACACACCUCACUGCUGCGUGCCUUCAAGCGCCUUCUGGGGCCACACCUGCCAGGCCAAGAGCAACUGCCACUCCAGUGUUUGCAGGCCUUUUCUUCCAUCUUCCUUUCUGACUUUUGCUGGAAAAAGGACUCACUGUGAGUUUUUCCUAGUUUUCUCACUCAUAAAUCAAUUUAAUCUUUUCUGUGCUCUCUUUGUAUAAGAGGUAAAAAAAAAAAAAGAGAGAGAGAGAGAAAAGGUACUCCCAGUGCAGUAGGUUUAAAAGGACAGGUUGCUUCACCUAUUAACACUCUAGUGAAUGAACAGGGUGUAUUUAUGGAAAAAAUAUAUAAGUACAUUUGAUCGACAAGGGAAGCAAUUUUUGAUUUUCAAUAACUUAUAUGUAAUUUAGUAAACUAAGAUUGAUUAAAGAAAAGUGUAGUUUGGUCAAAAGAUGCAUCAUAAAAUGUCACAUAAUUUGUAUCUAGAAAAAAGUAUUCCAGUGAAAAUAUAUGUCCUGAAUGACAUAUUCAAAGAGUUAUAAUUAAUAUCAAUUUUCCAUUGUGUUUCCUUUUUUUUUUUAAAACAGAAAAGAAAUCUGAAAAGCAGGAGAGUGCAGGUAAUGUCUUGAAGGAAGAAGACUGCUGUAGGUAUCACUACAAUUUUUGAGAAAUUGUGACUUUAUUGACAAAGUUAGCACACAAAUUCAAAAGAAACAAUUUAUGUGUUUAAAACAGGGUACUACUCAAACAUAGAUAUAACUAAAUGUAGUAUUAGGGAAGAAACAAGUGAAAAAGAAAAAACCCAAAGUCUGAGUAUUUUGUUCCUCCUAUGGGGGAGAUAUGUGAAUUCAGCAAACAAUGGAAAAAAGUCUCUUUUGAAAAAUAGUAAAUCAGCACUAUGCAAGUUCUGUUUAGUAAAACUCAAGUCCUGAUGUAGAGUUACUGAGAAAACAGAAAAAUAUAGUCCUGUGGUGAGAUGAAAAUCUAUAAAUUCUGUUUGUGCAUGCUUGUGUGUGUGUGUGUGUGUGUGUGUGUGUGUGUGUAUGUAUGUGUAUACACACACAAAGAAAAUAGAUUCCUGCACUGCCUUAAUCUGUUGAGACAUUUCCUGAAUUUCUUGUUCUUGUCAAUAUCUGGCAAGGUCUAAUUUUGUUUGUUGACUUGUUUUUGACCAAUAGAUUGUUCAUAAUUUAGUUGUACAAAGCAUACCAUUUGUAAUUUUAAAUAAUGGCCAAGACCAAAAUAUAAUUUAAAGUAAUUCAUGAAUGCAAUCUAGUCAGUCCUUUUUUCAUCUUUGUUGAUUUACAGUUACAAAUAUUCCCUUCAGUGUUACACUGUCUCAUUUUGAAUCUUUUCUGUAAUGAAAUUAUUGACACUUGCUAUCUUGCUUUCUUUGACCCAUUCUUUCUUUAAGAGAUUAUUUGGUUUCCAACUAAGUUUAAUAUAUGCUUCACAAGCUUUUUCUUAAAUGUAUUUUUCAUUGCAUUUUGGUCCCCAAAGUGUACAUUUAAUAUUUGAUUUUUGUGCAUUUCUUUCUGUGGUGUUUAUGUGCAAAUACAAGAUCAGUUUCUGUGAAGGUCCCAUGCAGAACAGUAGGGAAAAUCAGAUAUACUUAUUUUUGUUGCCCUUCAGUAUUUUUCAGAAACUAAGCUUAUCUCUAAAAUUCCACAUAUCUCCUCAAAUUCUUUCUUGUUCUUUUUAUGAUUAGAUUUAUUUAAGGCUGUCAGUGAUGAAAUUGGAGGUUCCACUUUUAAAGCUUUCUCAGGUUUUUCCCAUUGUAAGGCAUUUAACUUUUCCCUCAGGUAUUUUCUUUUUGUGCCAUUUGAUACAUAUAUGUUCAAUAUUAAUUCAUUGUGACAGCUUUAAGCAAAAUGUAGUUUCCCUGAACAUUUCUUUGUAUUGGGUCCUUUGUACUUUUCCUUUGAGAUGGUGAUUGUUAACUCUGCCUGUUUUACUUCUACUGAAACACAUUCGAUGUUUAUUGUAACUCUGUGUCUUUCUGUUUUAUGUCUCUCUUGUAAGCAACAUAUUGUUGGGUUCUGAUUUCUAAUCUGUUUUCCUAUAUUUCAUGGGUGAGUUCAUCCAUUUACAUUCACAGUUAGGACUUCUAAUAGCACCUUUCCCUCCAUAUAUUUCUCUACUAUUUGUGCUUCUUUCUCUCUCUUUUUUUAUCCUAGAUAAGAUUUAAUAAUGAUAUGAACUAAGAGUACAAAAGUCUUGUUUGGCUUCUGAGCACUACCUGUCUUAAACAUUUCUACCAGCUCCACUCCACCACCACAGACCCUUGGCCUUCUACAUCUGUACAGAGAAAUACAGAUGAAUAUCUAAACCCAAGUGUGUGCAUAUAUACUCUUCUCCCAUUGCACCAGUUCAGAUGUGUGUUAGGAUGAAACAUUGCCUCUCUUUGCCUCUCAUUUUUCCUUCCAUUGUAAAAGCUCUUCCAUGAGAGUCUCUAGUAUGUGAGUCAACUUUCUCCAUUCUUUCUCUCCUGUCUACUUUUUUGUAGGGUUUCCUUUAUUUUCGUACUCUUCCAUUCUCCUUUGGAGAUCAUCCUAACAAAAUUUUCUCAUACCCAUGUCCAAUGCUUAAGUAGAUUUCAUCAUAAUGAUGAUGAUGUUCUUAUGGAUUUCAUAUGUCAUCUUCCUUUUGAGAUAGUAAUCAUUUUAACAUUGGUAAUUUUUAGGAUCUAUAACUCCCAAUUUUUUUCAUAUCAAUUUUUUUCAAGACACUGCCUACUUUUGCUCCCGUUUCUUUUUGUUUACUCAUGUUUCUAGCCUACAUAUUCAUUUUGGAUUUUAUGUUCGAGUGUGACUCUGCAAUUCUAUGGAUGGGAGGACUGGCUGGUAUUUCUGUCUAUUUUAUACUUCUGUACACUUCUGAUUUCACAAAAUAAUCUAGGCAUUUGUGGUUUUUUGGGGCUCUUCCAGCUUGUUGUGAUAAUUAGAGUCUGGCCACUGAUCUCAUCAACUGAGCUGUGGUUACUGCUAAGAUAGGACCCUUACUUCUUCAUGACCAACAACACUGCUUUCCACCUUGGAACUGCAACUCAGAACUGGGUAAUGGCUGACCAAGUUUAUAAAUGGCAAUUAAAUCGGUGCCUAGUGUUUGAGAAGGAAAAGGAAUCAUCUUAGUAGUCCACUUUCCCAAAACUAGGCACCGAUUUCGCUGUCACCACCUCCACCACUACCACCACCAGAACCAUCACGACCACACCUCACUGCUGCAUGCCUUCAACACCUUCUGGGGCCACAUCUGCCAGGCCAAGAGCAGCUGCCACUCCAGUAUCUACAGGCCUUUCUUCCAUGUGCUAAAAAAAGGAUUCACUGUGUGUUUUGCUAGGUGUGUGCAUUCAGAAAUCUGUUUAGUAUUUUUGGGGCUCUCUUUGAAAAAUAAGUGCAUUUCAAUAUAGUGGUUUCAAAGGAACAGGUUGUUCCAUCUAUUAUUGUUCUAAUGAAUGAAUGGGUUAUGUUUACGGAAAAAAACAAUCUAAGUACAUAUGAUUGACAAGGAAAGCAAUUUCUGGUUUUCAAUAACUUAUAGGUCAUUUAAUAAACUAAAACUGAUUAAACUAAAAUGUUUUUAGAUCAAGUGAUGCAACAACAUGAAAAAUUGUAUAAUUUUUAAUCUGUAAAAGAGUAAUCCACUGAAAAUGUAUGUCCAGACUGACAUAAAAUAUGUCAGUUAACAUCAAUUUCCUAUUGUGGUUCCAAUUUUCUCAAAAACCAGAAAAGAAAUAUGAAAAGAUGGACAGUACAUGCAAUUAUUUGAAAGAACAAGGCUGCUGUAGGUAUCAUUAUUAUUUUUAAUAAAUGGUCACUAUUGACAAAGUUAGCACAUAAAAAAAUCAAAACAUACGAUUUAUGUGUUCAAAAUUGGUACUGCUCAAACAUAGAUAUAACUAAAUGUAGUAUUACAGGAAAAAAUAAGUGAAAAAGAAAAAACCCAAAGUAAGAGUGUUUUGUCCCUCCUCUGGGGAGAGACACAUGAAAUUAACAAUAAAAAAAUCUCUCUUGAACAAUAGUAAAUCUGCACUUAUGCAAGUGCUUUUUAGUAAAACACAAUCAUGAUACAGAGUCACUGAGAAAAAGAGAAAAAUUUAUUGAUUUGGUGAGAUAAAAAUCUAAAAUAUAUGUGUGUAUGUAUGUAAAUACUUAUACAUAUAUAUAUAUAUAUGAAAAUAUGUGUAUGUGUAUAUGCUAUAUAUAUAUAUACACACACAAAUAAAAUAAAUCACUGCAUUGUCAUAUUUGUUGAAGAUCUCAUGCCUGUAAAUACCUAACAAGGUCUUCUUUUGUUUGCUUGUUUUUGACCAACAAGUUGUUCAGAAUUUAGUUUUACAAAGUAUACCAUUUGUGAUUUUAAAUAAUAACCAAGACCAAUAUAGAAUUUAAAGUAAUUCAUGAAUUACUUUACAAUUUGCUGGGGUCUUUUUUUCCAUCUUUUAUUGAUAUAUACAUUUACAGUUAGAAAUGUUCGCUUCAGGUUCUAUCCCACAUUUUUGUUAUGCUAUCUCAUUUUGUUCCUUUUCUUUAAUGAAAUUAUUGACAUUUGUUAUCAUGGCUUCUUUGAUCCAUUCUUUCUUUAGGAGAAUAUUAUUUGGUUUCCAAGUAAUUUUUAAUGUAUGCUUCACAAGCUGUUUCUUGAAUGUAUUUUUCAUUACCUUAUAGUCCUCAAAGGAUGCAUUUAAUAUUUUACUUUUUUACAUUUCUUUCUGUGGUGUUUAUGCCCAAAUACAAGGUUAAUACCUGUGAAGGUGCCAUAGAGAACUAUGGAGAAAAAAAAGUUAUACUUAUUUUUGCUGCCUUUCAGUAUUCUUCAGAAUCCAAGCUUAUGUCAUUUUAAUAAUGAUUAAUUAUUAAAUAAUAAUUAAUAAUGAUUAGUAAUUCUUUCUUGUUUUUUUUAUGAUUUCAUUUAUCUAAGGCUGUGAAAGAUGAAAUUGAGGGGCUCCACUGUUAAAGCUUACCUAGCUUUUUUAUAUUGUAAGUCAUUUAACUUUUCCUUCAACUAUUUGGAUGUUGUGCCACUUGACGUACAUAUGUUCAGUACUGAUAUUUGUCUAAAACAGGUUUUAGUAAAAUGUAUUUUCCCGGAACAUUUCUUUGAAUUGGAUCUAUUGGCACUUUUCCUUUGUCUGAGAUGAUGAUUGCUAACUCUGUUUUAUUUCUGGUGAAACACAAUAGAUUCUUAUUGUAACUUUCAGUGUUUCUUAUUAUUUCUUUUGUAAGCAACAUAUUGUUGGGUUCUGAUUUCUAAUCCAUUCACCUAUCCUCAACCAUUUUAUUUGUGAAUUCAUCCAUUUACAUUUACAGUUAGGAUUGCUAAUAGUGUCUUUCCCUACAUCCCAUACUCUUAUUAUUUCUGCUUCUUUCUCUCUUUCUCUUUUUUUUUAACCCUUGAUACCUAUUAAUAGUGAUAUGAACAGAAUACAAAAGUCUAUUUUGCUCCUGGGCACUUCCUGUGUUAAACUUUACUACCUUCUAUUAUACCUCCACUCACCCCUACCCCCACAGUCCCUUGCCCUCCUACAUCUGUAUUGAGAUGAUGAAUUUAUCAACUCAACUGUGUGUGCAUAUAUACUCUUCUCUUGCUGCACCAGUUCAGAUGUUCAUUGGGACCAAACAUUGCCUCUCUCUGCUCCUUAUUUUUCCUUUAAUUGUAACAACUCUUCCAUGAGAGUCUCUGUUAUCUGAAGGAACUUUCUCCAUUCUUUCUCUCCUGUCCACUUUCUCCCAGGAUUUCUUUUAUUUUUCACCCUUCUUUCUUCUUUGGAGUUCAUCCUAACCCAAUAUUCUCACACCCAUGCCUGCUGCUCAAGUAGAUUCCUCCUCACUGUCAUAAUGAUGAUGAUGUUCUUAUGGGUUUCAUAUGUCAUCUUCCUUCUGGGAAUGUAAACAGUUUAACCUGGGUAAUUGUUUUGAUCUCUUACUCAUAAUUUUUCUCAUAUCACUCUUAUUUUAAAGGUAUUAUCUUCUUCUAAGUUCUUGCCCUGAUUUUCCAUGUAACCAUAUUAAUUUUGUAUCUACAGGUUCUCUUUUGUUUGCUCAUAUUUCUGGCCUACUUAUUAAUUUUAGACUUUAUAUUCAGAUGUGGCUCUAUCCUCCUGUGGAUGGGAAAGUUGGCCAGAGUGUCUGUCUCUUAUGUGCUUCUGCUUUCACAAGAUAAUCUAGGCAUCUGAGUUUCUUUUUGGUUCCUCCAACAGGUUGUGGUAAUUAGAGUCUGACUACUGUCCUCAUGAAGUGGGCUGUAGUUACUACUGAGGUAGGACCCUUACUUCCCCUUACUUCUUCAUGACCACCACCACUGCUUUCCACCUUGGAACUACGACUCAGAACUAUGUAAUGGCUGAAGAAGUUUAGACAUGGCAAUUGAAUCGGUGCCCAGUGUUUGAAAAAGAAAAGGAAUCCUCUUAGUCCACUUUCCCAAAACUAGGCACCGAUUCCGCUGCCAGCACCACCACUGAUAUACCUCACUGCUGUGUGCCUUCAAGCGACUUCUGGGGCCACACCAGCCAGGCCAAGAGCAACUGCCACUCCAGUGUCUGCAGACCUUUCUUCCAUCUUCAUAUUCUGCCUUGUGCUAGAAAAAAGGGCUCACUGUGAGUUUUCCUUAGUUUUCAGACUCAGAAAUCUGUUUAGUAUGUUUUUGUGCUCGCUUUUUUGAGGGGAAAAAAAAUGUAUUCCAGUUCAGUGGUUUCAAAAGGACAGAUUGUUUCACCUAUUGUUGUUCUAAUGAAUAAACAGAUUGUUUUUUUAUGUGAAAAA
Molecule: long non-coding RNA, 19055 nt
Organism: Sarcophilus harrisii (Tasmanian devil)
Lineage: Eukaryota; Metazoa; Chordata; Mammalia; Dasyuromorphia; Dasyuridae
Exons: 13
Source: RefSeq, a predicted model, not a curated record